GACGAACGCUGGCGGCGUGCUUAACACAUGCAAGUCGAACGGAAAGGCCUGCUUUCCCUUGUGGAUUGCGGGUACUCGAGUGGCGAACGGGUGAGUAACACGUGAGUGAUCUGCCCCCAACUUGGGUAUAAGCCUGGGAAACUGGGUCUAAUUCCCGAUAGGACUGCAGGGUGGUGCCUGUGGUGGAAAACGAUUUUCUAGUGGUUGGGGAUGAGCUCGCGGCCUAUCAGCUUGUUGGUGGGGUAAUGGCCUACCAAGGCGGCGACGGGUAGCCGGCCUGAGAGGGUGGACGGCCACAUUGGGACUGAGAUACGGCCCAGACUCCUACGGGAGGCAGCAGUGGGGAAUAUUACACAAUGGGCGGAAGCCUGAUGCAGCGACGCCGCGUGGGGGAUGACGGCCUUCGGGUUGUAAACUCCUUUCGACCGCAAGGAAGCCACCUGGUUGGAAGGGUGGUGACGGUAGUGGUAGAAGAAGCACCGGCUAACUACGUG
Molecule: ribosomal RNA, 494 nt
Filed under: uncultured bacterium
Lineage: Bacteria
Description: partial 16S ribosomal RNA
Rfam family: Bacterial small subunit ribosomal RNA
Source: RNAcentral